UACAGAGGAUGCAAGCGUUAUCCGGAUUUAUUGGGCGUAAAGCGUCCGCAGGUGGCUAUUCAAGUCUGCUGUCAAAGCUCGGAGCUUAACUCCGAAUCGGCGGUGGAAACUGAACAGCUAGAGUGCAGUAGGGGUAGAGGGAAUUCCCAGUGUAGCGGUGAAAUGCGUAGAGAUUGGGAAGAACACCGGCGGCGAAAGCGCUCUACUGGACUGCAACUGACACUCAGGGACGAAAGCUAGGGGAGCGAAUGGG
This 253-nucleotide ribosomal RNA is filed under the name uncultured bacterium. RNAcentral describes it as "partial 16S ribosomal RNA". It matches the Rfam family "Bacterial small subunit ribosomal RNA", at positions 524 to 776 of the family's 1533-position model. The record is from RNAcentral.